Molecule: ribosomal RNA, 468 nt
Filed under: uncultured bacterium
Lineage: Bacteria
Description: partial 16S ribosomal RNA
Rfam family: Bacterial small subunit ribosomal RNA
Source: RNAcentral
GACGAACGCUGGCGGCGUGCUUAACACAUGCAAGUCGAACGGAAAGGCCCUGCUUUUGUGGGGUGCUCGAGUGGCGAACGGGUGAGUAACACGUGAGUAACCUGCCCUUGACUUUGGUAUAACUUCAGGAAACUGGGGCUAAUACCGUAUAGGAGCUCCUGCUGCAUGGUGGGGGUUGGAAAGUUUCGGCGGUUGGGGAUGGACUCGCGGCUUAUCAGCUUGUUGGUGGGGUAGUGGCUUACCAAGGCUUUGACGGGUAGCCGGCCUGAGAGGGUGACCGGCCACAUUGGGACUGAGAGACGGCCCAGACGCCUACGGGAGGCAGCAGUGGGGAAUAUUGCACAAUGGGAGGAAGCCUGAUGCAGCAACGCCGCGUGCGGGAUGACGGCCUUCGGGUUGUAAACCGCUUUCGCCUGUGACGAAGCGUGAGUGACGGUAAUGGGUAAAGAAGCACCGGCUAACUACGUG